Molecule: long non-coding RNA, 534 nt
Organism: Biomphalaria glabrata
Lineage: Eukaryota; Metazoa; Mollusca; Gastropoda; Planorbidae
Exons: 3
Source: RefSeq, a predicted model, not a curated record
AUUCUCAGGAAUUAGUCAUUCAAAAGACGGUGAGGAAAAGAAUGGUCGACAAACCUUGUGUGGUGCCUUAACAGUCCAACAGACUAAGGGAUAGAUAAAGGUGGAUCUUGAUUAAACUGCCUGGUUUUGUGGUUUGCACGAGACGGUUGACACAAUGAUCUGAAGUUUAAACUGCCAUAUUCUACUGUCCGCUGCGAGAUCUUGGCUGGAAUGUAAAAGGAAUAUCCAAAAUAUUUAAAUGACAAACAGGAUGGGAACUGAUUAUGAGGAAUAUGCUGAAACAGACAUCUGGCAUAUUCCUAUAAUCAGUAUCAUGGCCUUUGUAUACAACAAAAUUGAUUGGAACUCCUAGACUAGAAAUAUAAUUCAAGAUUUAAAUAAGGCACUGGUCAUAGUUUUAGAAAGUGUGGCUAACAUUCUGGUAAGAUAUUUUAUUGAUAAUUAGAAAUUAAAUUAAAUUUUAUUUAAUGAUUUUAAAUUUCUUUUUUAAGAAUUAUGGUCCAUUUUUUCCCCAUUUGUGUACAAAGAAGGAAG